GGCUCAGGAUGAACGCUAGCUACAGGCUUAACACAUGCAAGUCGAGGGGAAACGACAUCGAAAGCUUGCUUUUGGUGGGCGUCGACCGGCGCACGGGUGAGUAACGCGUAUCCAACCUGCCCAUCACUUGGGAAUAACCUUGCGAAAGUAAGACUAAUGCCCAAUGACAUUUAUAGAAGGCAUCUGAAAUGAAUUAAAGAUUUAUCGGUGAUGGAUGGGGAUGCGUCUGAUUAGCUUGUUGGCGGGGUAACGGCCCACCAAGGCUACGAUCAGUAGGGGUUCUGAGAGGAAGGUCCCCCACAUUGGAAUUGAGACACGGUCCAAACUCCUACGGGAGGCAGCAGUGAGGAAUAUUGGUCAAUGGGCGAGAGCCUGAACCAGCCAAGUAGCGUGCAGGAUGACGGCCCUAUGGGUUGUAAACUGCUUUUAUAAGGGAAUAAAGUGGGUCACGUGUGACUUUUUGCAUGUACCUUAUGAAUAAGGACCGGCUAAUUCCGUG
This 499-nucleotide ribosomal RNA is filed under the name uncultured bacterium. Its description in RNAcentral is "bacterial SSU rRNA". It matches the Rfam family "Bacterial small subunit ribosomal RNA", at positions 21 to 507 of the family's 1533-position model. The record is from RNAcentral.